AUCACUUCUUGGCAUUUUGGCCAAGAUCAAGUGUACUAUCUGUUCUUAUCGUUUCAUUAUGUUCUCUAUAAGGGAACAACAUGUUAAACAGAGUUUUAGAUUAGAUUUUUACUCCAUGCACUGACCUGAUUUUGCAGUACCGCUGGGAACGCUGCCCCCUCA
This 162-nucleotide small nuclear RNA is filed under the name Dicentrarchus labrax (European seabass). RNAcentral describes it as "U2 spliceosomal RNA (ENSDLAG00005007022.2)". It matches the Rfam family "U2 spliceosomal RNA". Rfam says of the family: U2 is a small nuclear RNA (snRNA) component of the spliceosome (involved in pre-mRNA splicing). Complementary binding between U2 snRNA (in an area lying towards the 5' end but 3' to hairpin I) and the branchpoint sequence (BPS) of the intron results the bulging out of an unpaired adenosine, on the BPS, which initiates a nucleophilic attack at the intronic 5' splice site, thus starting the first of two transesterification reactions that mediate splicing. Lineage: Eukaryota; Metazoa; Chordata; Actinopteri; Moronidae. The record is from Rfam by way of RNAcentral.